Molecule: long non-coding RNA, 675 nt
Organism: Nicotiana attenuata
Lineage: Eukaryota; Viridiplantae; Streptophyta; Magnoliopsida; Solanales; Solanaceae
Exons: 3
Source: RefSeq, a predicted model, not a curated record
CAAUUUUCGUCCACUAGGAUUUUAUUUCCCUCUUAAUGUUCGCUCUUUUUUAAGUUCUCCAACUCAAAGACCACUCCCCAAUUUCUUAGACAACUCACACAAAUCACAAAAAAGACGCUCGCCAUCACUCAUAGAAGAACUGUGUGAUGAUACAGUAUGAAAUUUAUUCAUCGAUGCUAUUGAAAGAGAUCGAAAACGCAGAACUUAGAUCUCUCUUGGAAGAUGCAAGGUAGAAUAUACUUCAGGAGCUUGAAAAGCAAAAACCAUCUGCUUUAAGAGUGGUGAAGCAAAUACACAAAGGAUAGACAAAAGGAUUGAAGAACUUGUAUACGGCGAAAUUGGAGGGUCCAAUUUCUCGUUAUUAAAGCAUUUCUGAGGAUCAUCUCGAGGCCUCGAGGCUGCGAGGCUAUGGUCGAGUUCCCUCCCUCAAGGUUCGUUGACGCCCGACUAAUCACAAUGUUUGCCGCGGUCAUAAUGGGAAUGGAGAGUUCCCUAGGUAUGCAACUAGUGUUGGCAGAGUGUAGUGUCAUCUAGUUGUCCCAUCCCCCUAUCUUUGUAAUUGAUGCUAUGUUGGGAUUCCCCUCCUAUAUAAAGGGGAUAUUUGACGCUUUGUAGAGGCCUGUUGCUCCAAUUACUCCACACGAAAUAUAGAAGAACAUUCUCCUUUCUCUCUAA